CUGAACUUAAGCAUAUCAAUAAGCGGAGGAAAAGAAGCCAACAGGGAUUGCCUUAGUAACGGCGAGUGAAGCGGCAACAGCUCAAAU
Molecule: ribosomal RNA, 87 nt
Filed under: Haloguignardia irritans
Lineage: Eukaryota; Fungi; Ascomycota; Sordariomycetes; Phyllachorales; Phyllachoraceae
Description: partial 28S rDNA
Rfam family: Eukaryotic large subunit ribosomal RNA
Source: RNAcentral